RNAcentral lists this long non-coding RNA (1263 nucleotides) under Canis lupus familiaris (dog). Its description in RNAcentral is "lncRNA (ENSCAFG00000051512.1)". Lineage: Eukaryota; Metazoa; Chordata; Mammalia; Carnivora; Canidae. The record is from RNAcentral.
AAUUUAACAAAUUUAUUUUGUUACACCAAAUCUUGUUACACCAAAAACUACACAACAUCAUGGGGAAAAAAAAAUGAAGAUCUAAAUAAGUGGAAAUAUGGCCAUGUUCGUGGAUUGUCUAAUUCAUGAAUAUUGUUUAAUAUACUACCAAAAAACAGAUUCAGUGUAAUCUCUAUCAAAAUCGCAAUGGUAUUUCUUACAAAAUGGAAAACUCAUCUUAAAUUCAUAUGAUAGUUCAUAUGAUAGUUGGGGGCCCCAAAUAGUCAAAAUAAUCUUGACAGAGAAGAACAAAAUCAGAAGGCUCACACUGCCUGAUUUUAACACUUACUACAAAGCUAUAGUGAUCAAGGCAGUGUAAUACUGGCAUAAGACAGAUAUAUAUAGAGAUAUAACUCAGUGGAAUAAAAUUGAGAAAUAAACCAUUACAUAUGUGGUCCAUUGAUUUAUUUUUUUAUUUUUAUUUAUUCAUGAGAGACACACAGAGAGAGGUAGAGACACAGGCAGAGGGAGAAGCAGGCUCCAUGCAGGGAGCCCGACGCGGGACUCGAUCCCAGGAAUUUGAGAUCACGACCUGAGCCAAAGGCAGACGCUCAUCUGCUGAGCCACGCACAUGCCCCUGGUCCAUUGACUUUUGACAAGGGUGCCAAGAACGUUUAUUAGGGAAAGAAUAGUUUUUUUUCAACAAAUGGUGCUGGGGCAACUGUGUAUCCACAUGCAAUAGAGUGAAGUUAGAACCCCCUACCUCACACCACAUACAAAAAUUAACUCAAAAUAGAUCAAAGACCUAAACAUCAAGGUAACACUGUAGAACUCUUAGAAUAAAACAAAGAGGUAAAUCUUUGUAACCUUGGAUUUGACGAUGGUUUCUGAGAUGUGACACCAAAAGCACAAGGGAAAAAAGAAAAAACAUCCAUCGGGUAUCAUAAAAAUGAAAGACUUUUGCGCAUCAAAGGAUGCUAUCAAGAAAGUGAAAAGACAAUUCACAAGAUAUUUGCAAACAUAUUUCAAAUGACUUAAGAGAAUAUGUUGCAUAAAAGUCUCCUCUCAAAAAACUUCUCCAUGGUGGGGUGGAAGGAGAAGACUCUUCCCUAACAUACAGGGUGCAGGGUAUCCUGUCCUGCCCUUCCUGGAGCGCGUUCGCCCAAAGGCGAUCUGCCCAUCUAGGAAAUUAGGGAAAUAAAAAUCAGAGAAGGGUGGGAAGAAGCAGGGACACUUGCCCCUGGGGCAGCCACAGUUCUCUGGGAACUUGCUCACAAAUUCCCC